Camelina sativa (false flax) is the source of this 473-nucleotide non-coding RNA. NCBI's taxonomy places the organism in Eukaryota, Viridiplantae, Streptophyta, Magnoliopsida, Brassicales, Brassicaceae. The record is from RefSeq and is a predicted model, not a curated record.
GUCUGGACCAUUAAAACAAAUGGGUCCAUAUGGGCAUUGACCAGAUGGACAUUGACCAGAUGGACAUUGGUCGUGCCCAAAUUUAUAAAAUUCUAGGGUUUUAAAAUUUGGGGGAAAACAGAGACUUAUCUAAUUUCUUCGUCUCCUCUAGUCCUCUUCGUCGUCUUCGAAUCGCUCUAUGAAGAUCUUCAUCUUCAUCUCAAUUCGUGAUUGAAGAGUUCGUGGGUACCCAAUUCGAUUUCUAUAGAACUGUGCUAGCAAAGAAGUUUGAAGCUGGGAUUGUUUCGCUUGAGGCUUGAGCAUCGUUACUACGGGAAGAGCUCACCAUUUAGUUCAUUGGCCUCUUACGAAGUCCAACUUAUGGGUUGUUUCAUCAACUUUGUUUAAGCCUCUUACGAAGUCCAACUUUGUUUCAUCAACUUUGCUUAUGGAUUGUCUUUUUUAUGGAGUUAAUUAAACAUCAAAUUGUGUUA